Misgurnus anguillicaudatus (oriental weatherfish) is the source of this 330-nucleotide long non-coding RNA. RefSeq lists it as uncharacterized. The record is from RefSeq and is a predicted model, not a curated record. NCBI's taxonomy places the organism in Eukaryota, Metazoa, Chordata, Actinopteri, Cypriniformes, Cobitidae.
GACAUCACAUUUAUAAUUGGUGAUGUCAUAGAGAACGCUGCUCUCAUAAAGCGCUGUUUGCAGUGUGUUUGGUUAUUCUAUAGUGAGACUCAGAACAGUAAAGGUUGACAACACUCGGGAAGACACUGCAAGGGAGAUAUGCUAUACCUGUUCAAGAAAAGCUGCCUGCAAGGGAAAACAUAAACAGAUCAAUCACCCACCAAGAUCUGCAUUAUCAGGGAGCCGGGUUAUGUGCCUGAGAUGUUGCGCGGCGGAGGAUCUGAAAACCUCCCGCGGGAAUCCUCGCCACCUGCCAGGACCCAGCGAUGACACGGACAGCGUUACGGCCCG